UCCACCGUGAAAUGUAAGGGGAAAAGCUGGCUUGACGUGGAUCGGAUCAAUAACGAUCGACGAUGCGAAAGCAGGGCCUAACGAACCAAUGUGCCUCAUUUCUGGGGGCCAUUGAUAACAGAAAAGUUACCUCGGGGAUAAUUGAGUUGUCACCAGCAAGAGCACAUAUCGACCUGGUGGCUUGCUACUUCGAUGUCGUCUCUUCCCAACCUCCUGGUGCAGCAGCUGGGAAGGGUGGGGUUGUUCGCCCAUUAAAGGGGAUCGUGAGAUGGGUUUAGACCGUCGUGAGACAGGUUUGUUGCUUUGUGGUUGAGGCGUAUCAGGUGCCUGAUCGGAAGGGCCCUUUAGUACGAGAGGAACGAGGGCUCGGAGCCACUAGUUUACCAGUUGUCCGGCAGGGCAACGCUGGGUAGCCACGCUCCAGCGGAUAAGAGCUGAAAGCAUCUAAGCUCGAAGUCGCCCGAAAGACGAGGCACCUCAGGGGACUCGUAUAAGACGAGUUUGAUAGACAGCGGGUGUAAGGACCGAGGUUCGCCGAGGUCUUCAGCCCAGCUGCACUAACCCCCCGAGCAUCCAAAUAA
This 581-nucleotide ribosomal RNA is filed under the name Candidatus Thalassarchaeum sp. RNAcentral's name for it is "partial 23S ribosomal RNA". It matches the Rfam family "Archaeal large subunit ribosomal RNA", at positions 2405 to 2987 of the family's 2987-position model. The record is from RNAcentral. Lineage: Archaea; Methanobacteriati; Thermoplasmatota; Candidatus Poseidoniia; Candidatus Poseidoniales; Candidatus Thalassarchaeaceae.